This is a long non-coding RNA of Carassius gibelio (silver crucian carp), 641 nucleotides long. RefSeq lists it as uncharacterized. Lineage: Eukaryota; Metazoa; Chordata; Actinopteri; Cypriniformes; Cyprinidae. The transcript is spliced from 3 exons. The record is from RefSeq and is a predicted model, not a curated record.
CAGCCGAAAGGGGAUAAAUGGAUGGAUAAAAUGAGAGAAAAAGCUGGUGAGCGCCAGCAGAAAAUUAAACACUCAAUAAAAAGAAGGAAGGAACAUAACAACUCAAAUGGACUCGAGCUCGCAAGCAGCUCAGAGGAAGCUGCCAAUAACACAAAUCAAGUUCAAAAUGUGUCCAAGAACCGCAAAUUAAGCAGUCGCACCAACCUCACCCAUCUCAGUCAAAGCAGAAGCUCAACUGAAAUGUUUCUGCAUUGACUUCUCAGCUGAAAUAAAGGACAUUGAUGCUUGCACUGGACACUGGAGAUGAAUGGAGGAUAUUUGAGACCGGGCAGCCCAAGACCAGAUGUGUAUGGCGCGCUGGUGGAGUAGGUGUGAGGCAGAUAAAGGAGAAUGAGAGGGAGCCCUCUACAGGAUAACUGCACAACUGAGAAACAGAAAGAAAGGAAGAAAAAGAAGAGCAGAGAAUGUCUUCUCAAUUCAUUUCAGUCAAACUAAAUAUGAAUGAGGCUGCAAACAGGAUGCAAAGUUGUCAUUUGAAUUUGACACUAUAUAGAUGUACAUGUACCUAUACAUACAUUUCUGUGCAGUUUAAUCUGUAGUUCUGUAGUAAUGUAACAAAGUAGCAUUACUACAGUAUUAUA